Daucus carota subsp. sativus is the source of this 3980-nucleotide RNA transcript. It is a transcript of the gene named subtilisin-like protease SBT4.3, with no coding region annotated. The record is from RefSeq and is a predicted model, not a curated record. Lineage: Eukaryota; Viridiplantae; Streptophyta; Magnoliopsida; Apiales; Apiaceae. The transcript is spliced from 7 exons.
AUGACCUUCUUACCCCAAUUUUCAUUCAUCUAAUCUCUCUUUCCUGGGGAAGUUCUACAGGUCGUCAGCGCUCUUUACCCUGUGUGCUUCCGACACAUCUAUCAGCCUUGUCAAACAUCGAGUUUAUUUCACGAAAGAGGCACUGAGGCUACACCAUCUGCAUAAGCCAAUCUAUUGCCCAGAUAGAUUAUCGGGUAUACCAGAUACACAUACUACUGGUAGGUGUAUCAGAAAUUCAUGUGAAUCCGCAAUUGUGUUAUGGACAACUUCAAAUUCCAAGCAAUGUCUUGUCAUCAGUGUCGCUCAAAUGCGAAUAAGGGGUUUAAUCUGUUAAGAUCGUAUUUGAAACUUAUUCUCCACCAGAAGAAGGCCUCGUGAGUGGUUUUCUAUAACUCUUUGUUUUUAUGUUUGUAAAGUUUGUUCAACAAAUUUAAUCAAAAUCUAAUUUUUAAUGUCAUUAGCACCUUCUGAAUGAUAUUGAAUUCAUUAUCUAUGGAGUUUAAUUUAAUUACGACUAAAUUGAACUUUGCAUACUUGAAGUAUUUCUGUUGGUAAGGAAAUGCCUAAAAUAAUUUUCAUGCUAGCUUGAUGGCUAAAUUAUUUUUCAUUAGCCAAUUUAGUGGCUCUGCCCACUUCUGUUAAAAUGCACCUAAUGCCGUGACUUGUGUUUAGGUUUUACAAAUUAGAGGUUAAAAACGUGAUUUAGCUGCCCCCGAUAUAUACCCCAGUUUCCCUCCAUUCUCCCAGUUUCAACUCCAUCAGAGGAAAGUCUUGCAACUGUACUGGACUACAAAUGUGGCUGUGGAUUUAUCAAAUCUGAAAGGUUCUGCCUAUAUUGCAGGAAUGCAUCUGUAUCUUAAUUGACCACCAUCAAGUUCUUCCCCAUUAGCCUAAGAACAAGACUUGAAGCUGAUGGACUAGCUGCUCCAGAAAAAAAAUCCCUCUGUAUAUUUCAAGACUAAUAUCCUUAAAGGAUCGUUCAAUAUUGUUCAAACAUUCAUUCUUAAAACAAAGUUUACAGAUGGUCCAAGCCGGAGAGAUGAGGGAGUUCAUUCUCUCUUUCUCACUAAAAUAUCUCCACAAUAUUUGAAAAAAAGCUCUAGGUUAAGGAAAUAAAGUUAGGCAUUAAUUAGGAAGCUUCUGGAAAUGGUUAUACAUGCCGGACGCAGCAGGGGAAGUUUCAUUGUUUAAUAUAUAAGUUUUUAGCAAGAAACUGCUUAUUCAUAUCUAUGAAGAUCUGACUAAAUUCAUAUAAACUCUUUAGGCUUUGUAUUGUUGUAACCUCUUCUCUUGGUGUUGAUUUUAAUAUGCAGCUCUGCAGCGCUAGGUGUGAUAUAAGCUAAUAUAUCACCUGUAGAGUAUUGCUUUUUGUUUUUUUAUUAUCUCUUAUUUUUGGUUAUGAUCAAUUACGGUAAUUCAGAUACACACACACGGUGCACCACUGAUGUUUAAAUCCUCGAUCUCCUGCUGUUAAGGUAAGAUGGAUAUCCUUAAUGGUGACUUUUACAUAUUUUCUUUGAGAAUGUGUUCUGAUUGGUUCUUUGACUUAAUUAAUGGGUACCCCAAACGUGCAGGGAAAGAAAAAAGAUAUAGGAGGAACUAGGAAGUAAGAAGAGAUUAGGGGGAGACAAGUGGUUAAUUUAAAGUUAAUUUUUGAGUACCAGCAUAGGCAUCAUUUUUAGAGUGAAGUGGGGAACCAGUGAAAUACUAAACCUGACCAAUUACAUAACAGACCUCUAGAAAAUGAGAAGAGAAUAUUCUUUUGAAUUCUGAAAUAUUUUAUAGCAAUCUACUGGUAUCUUACUAUUCGUUCAAUUAUUCACCGAAACUACCUUUAACUACAAAAACUCAACACAUAGAUAGGUCAUAGGAAAGACUAUUCAUUAACUUUGCAAGACAGCUGUGCUUACAAGAAAUUGUUUUGCCUCCCUCCAAAUGGCUCAUGUUGUUUAACAAAUAUGAAAUAGGAAUAAUUAGUUUCUCCUUCCAUAAAUCCAUACUUUGUGUCUGUAAAAGCUUUUGUGUGCGCAAAAAUUUAAUUACGAAACAGAUGACACCUGUGCAUUAAUUUAUGAUGCUUGGGAAAUUAGUUACGUAUAUUUCAGUUACUAAUAUAUGAGACACAUUUUUGAGGACAAACGUUAUUUUUACUGUGCCUCUUAAAUCUGUAGUCAGGAUGCUGCAAAAGAGGCUUUACUUUAUAGCUAUAAAAAUGCUGCCAGUGGAUUCUCUGCUAAUUUGACUCCUGAGGCAUUGUAGAAAAAAUUCGUUGGAUUCAAAGUUAGUAAAGGGUAAAAUUGUACUGUGUGAUGAAUUAAGCAACGGGGAAUCGAUCUUUUUGUCUGGCGUAGCUGGGACCAUAAUGAGAGAUGCAGAAAAUAGAGAUAACACCAAACUUUUCCCUCUUCCUGCAACUUUCCUUGGUGUCGACGAUGGUGAUAAAGCUUUCAAAUACAUUAGAUCUACAAGGUCUGAUUAGCAAACCCCAUUUCCUUAUUCCAAAUUUAUCAAAACUAGUGGUUGACGGUUUAGUAGCCUGACAAGAACGAGAAAAACCAACAAGCGACGGUCUAGAUGGCCUGCAUAUACCAAAAACUUUCAGAUCACAAGAGGCAAAACCAGAAACAUGAAGCGAAGACAAAGAAGAAAUCAUUGCAAAAACGUGAAAACCGUUAAGUCAACAACAAAUGCAAGGUUUUGUCUCAACAUAUUUGGGGAUCACGGAUUCUGGAAAUAAAUCAAUUACUGCUGGUUAGUAGAAACUAUAUCUUCAUGUGACUAUGACUGUUGUAAAGUUGUAGUAUGAAUGUAUGAUAUAAUCAACAUGUUCUGUAAAUAUUUGUUUAUCGUACCUUAAACCCAAGUACAUGCUUAUAAGAAAAAAAGCCCAACUACAUAAUUUGUUUAUUUGGGAUUGAUACUAUUAGUAAGUUAUAUUAGCUUUGUCAUUUUAAAAAUAUAUUAUUAAUGUAUAACUUUAAGAAAAUGUUUUUGAGUUAAUUGAUUCUGAAUAUUAACAUGAUUGAAUUUUGCCAUAUCUCCAUUAAGGUUGCAUCUUUUUCUAAUGGAUCAAGCUUAGGAUAAAACAAUUAUUUAUUAUAUUUAUAAUCCAAAUAUUCAUUAGAUUUAAUCAUAUACUACUUGUAAAUUAUUCGUGUAGACAAUAUUUCUCACUAUUUUAUAUUACUUGAGGGGUUGUUUGGACAACCUUACACUUGAGUUUUUUAUGUGUUAGUUUCAUGAGGAUAUUUUUAAUCUCUCUCUCUCUCUCUCUCUCUUUCUCUCUCACACACACACACACACACAUGUAUAUGAAGCAAGCGGAACAUGAUUUCUGACCGGGAGUGCAACCCCAUAACAAUAGACCUUAAGUGGAAAGAAAUUUUAGAACCUAUGAGCAAACUGUACACAAAAUCUACAGAUGGCUCUUGCAUAGAAAGAGUGCUUUGAUAUGACGUCAUCAGGAUGGAUCCUGCCAUGCAAAAGAAUUGUCAUUUGGGAAAGUUUUUUUGGAAAUGAGCAUCGUAGUUGUUAAAAGAGGCCAAUAUAUCUUCGAGGUUAAGUCACAGGGUAUAAACAAAUGGUUGGUUGUUGAGAAGUUUCCGUCAGCUAUGUUCGGUGGUGGAAAACCUCCAAAUUUUGUCACGUGUAUCGAAAAUGACAAAUCAGAUGAAGAUAUGUUUGGAGCAUCUUAAGCCCAAUUCUAUCGACAUCCAUUCCUACUCAGAGGUCUUUACCUAUAGUGUUGGGAGAAAGCCAAGCAAAGCCUGCUUUUAUAUUGAUGACAUUGUUAUAGUAGUGAAGCUGCUUAAAGCCCAUGUUGAUGCGCCAAUUCCAGAGCCAACAUUGUAACCACGUACAGUCGUACAUGUCAAAAUUUCUUUCGACAAUUUCAUUUGAGAUGGAUAAUUGUGAGAUGCUUAAUAGGGAUUGCAAAACUAUAUUGGCAUCAUAAAAUCUUUGAAUCAAAUUGUAUUACU